Molecule: long non-coding RNA, 6663 nt
Organism: Falco peregrinus (peregrine falcon)
Lineage: Eukaryota; Metazoa; Chordata; Aves; Falconiformes; Falconidae
Exons: 3
Source: RefSeq, a predicted model, not a curated record
GUCAAAUAAGAAAGGCAUCAAUUAAAUUUAAAAAGGAUUGAGUUAAAAUCAGUUUGUGUCAAGCUGAUAAACAUCUAUCACUUUUCAAAAAUUGGUACUAAAUUAUAAAAAAGCAUUCUGUAGUCAUUUACUGUCUUGCUGUGUGCCAUGCUUCAUCACUUCUGAUAUAUCUUAAAAUAUAUAUCCAGACCCACAGCUGGCAAAAGAGAUUUGCCUGUUAUGAGAGCAAGUGAUUCCACAAAGUGCAAAGGGAUCAGCUGCCAGCCCUUUGUUUACACCCUGGGGCUGACAGCCCAGCUAGCUUUCUGGGGCUGACAGACCAAAGAUGUGUGUCAAAGGCUGUACAACUUGCAGCACAUCAGGACACUCUGACACGUUUUAGGAUCUGAGUAGUGCUGAAAGUGGCAGACAGUGCUUUGAAUAUGAGAAUCUGUGUAUCUACGGGCUAGAGACAGCCCAGUGGAGUCACAGCUCUGUGGGCUCUCAUUGUGCCUGCCUCAGUGUACAUCAUGACUGGGCAGGACCUCACAGACAAAGAGAAGGGACAUAAUGUAAAAACUGCUUGAAGAAAGCUUCCAAAGUGCUGUGUCCAGUGAUGCAAUGGCCUUUCUGGCUCAAGAAAUUGUAAACUGCAGGUUCUUGUACUCUUUUCAAGUGAAUCUGUCCUGUUCUUGGUACUACACAAUUUUGUAAGGCCCGUGUCACAGGACCUGUACAACCACACAACAAAGAUACUUCUUGUUUGCCAGACUCACGUUGUGACAACCUUCUGUCCGCCCAGCUUGAGUUUGCCUAAAGGGUAUUAGCUUAAGAGUUAUCGUGUCCAGCUGAAAAGUAGGCAGGGUAUACACUUUAUCUUGCCUGCAUUACUCCCAUGUGUUUGUGGUUGAAGUUCAAUCUUUUCUGUUUCUAUAAAGGAAGCUUUAGGUACUCCCAGAAACAAAGCUAAGAAUGAAGUUGGGGGUAGGAGUGGUGGCAGGAGUAGAAGCCUUGGGAAUUAAGGGGUGUUAAUGACUGGAACAGUGGGCCAGGCUCCAGGACUGCUGGGCUGUGUUGCUGACUGAUUGACCUUGACCAAGUCACCAGUAUCUCUCUGAAGGAAGCUGUGUCUUAUGUGUAAUAGUUGAAGUAGUCCUUGCACAUGACACUGACUCUUUAAUCGCAGUGUUUCUCUUACUGCUGUAAUUUCUGGAUGGUAUGCUGGUUUGCCGUCAUUGUCAGCUCAUACAAAGAUCUGACACUGUGAAGCAUAGAAUCAUACAAUGGUUUUGGUUGGAAGGGACCUUAAAGACCAUCCAGUUCCAACCUCCCUGCCAUGGGCAGGGACGCCUUCCACUAUAGCAGGUUGCUCAAAGCCCUAUCCAACUGGAAUCUUGGAGGUGGCCUGCAUGGUUGGGAGAUUUCUGCAUGGAAGCUGCUCUGUAUACAAAAAAAUAAUAAUUACGAAUUUAAGUCUAUCAUGUGAACAAGUUCUCCUUAUGAGGUGUCUCCCUACAUGCAAAACUAUGUUGACCUAUACUGUGUGGGAGGGCAGAUGAGAAGAAAUCAUAAUCAUCACUUUUGCCUUAGAAAUUUGUCUUUUGUGAAUAAUAGAGUCCAUGCCACACAGCCCCAAAGACUCUGUAGUCUGCAAAAUAGCUUUUCAGUUCACACUAUCUCUAGCCAGGGCUUGCUCCAUGGAUGCUGCAGUGGCUGGAGGAGGAGUGUGGAGGUUAGUUAGUUCACUGGGAGCAAUGCAGGGCCAAAACUGGAAAGGUUUCUGCUUUCUCCUUGUGUCCUCGUGUUCUCAGGGCAGGCAGAUCUUAGUUGUUUCUUUCCCACUAUUCCUGUGCUUUUAAGCAGCAUUAGACAUUUUCUUCCAGCUCCUAUACAGUGCUUGGAUUUCUACCUGCUUUUAGCUAAUAAUUCCAGAAAGUAUUAAAAGAUGUCAUGUGGGUUUUCUUAGGUCUGUAAGAAAGAUACAUGGCUAUGUAAUGUGAUCCUAUUCUUGUGUCCCACAGUUCUGUAACAUGUAUUCAAGCUCUUCUACUUGCUAAAUGGGUAAUUUUGUUUUGAUCUUCCUCCCAACUCUGCUUAAAAACCAGAGCGUAGCCAGAAUGCUGCAGCAAACAAACAGGACACACAGUCCAUUUACCAAACAUGUCCCUAAAUUACUGCAAAGGAUUCUGAUUUUUCAGCUUCUUGGAAAAUGUUCCAGUCUGUGUGUUGACACCGCUUGGGGAGCACUCAGCUGGGAGAACAACGACAAAAUGUGCCUCAUUUUAGCCAGGCCAGAACUGGCUAGGAUCCAUUGUGCGUUCUUAAUAUUCAGCAUUUGUUCCAAAUAGUCCUUACAACCACUGGCAUAUGUCAAAUCUAGGGCUGCUGAUUGCUGCUCCGUAUGAACUGAAGGGCACCAAAAGAAAGUUAGUGUGUGCGCACAGUGCUCUGACAUUGGAGAAUUCUCUGUGCUUCUGGGUAACAGUAACUUUCUUUUCCACGAGUGGAGUCCAAACCAAGCGAGUCAAGUGUUUGUAUAUCAUGUAAUUUUCAUAUGGGAAAUGUGUUUUUUGUAAGUCCUCUGAAUAAACUUCAUCUUUACUUUUACUUACCAUGCAAGCCUAUUUUUGGUUAAAAACAUGGGCAGUUUAGGGUGUGGUUCCAUUUAGUUUGGGAAUAGCUGUGCCUGGCUUCAAGUGAUAAGAUGUCUGGAUUUGCCGCAUGUUUUUCACUGCAGAUGGUAUAUUUUCUUUAAGAAAUAAGUACAAGGGAAUUCAAGGUUAAAAAUUCCUAUCUCUGGACCAAGGACAGUUUGAACAGGGACUGGAGAUUAUUUACAGAGAUUAUAAUUUCAUUUUUCAUUUCAACUGGAACUACUGAUGAUUUAGCACAUCUGGGAAACUAAACUUUAAGUUUCUGCAGCCCAUUUGUUUUUUGGCCACUUUCCUGAGCCUGCUGAUUAGUGUCACUGUCACAAGGCAAACAGCAAUCCUGCACUAACUGAACUGUGACUUCUACUUAUAUCAGUUGCUUCUGGAAGUACUGCAUGUGAAAUGAAUUCAAAGCAAUAAAUCUGGGAUCUCUGCAAGCUGUACUACCAGUCCCUAAGCAUGACACUGGAAUUUUGUUUACUUCUGCAAUUUGGACGGUUUUCAUGGACUCAGUGAAGAUCAACUGUUAAAAAUAUUCAAAUAAGUGUAGCAGUUUUGAGUUGUACUAUAUUGCCCUGAUGCUAUGCUGACUUGAGUCACUAGGAAAAAUUCUACCUGACUCUUGAAAGGUCUGUAGAUCAGGUUCUAGGCAACCUUGCUCCUGUAAGUCUUGUUAGUUCUCAUUUUAUACACUUUUGCUCAUAAAAUUAGUUAUCUCAACCAUUGGAACUGUCUCAGAAAGAUGGGAUGAGCUCUCAGAAAGCUUGUGAGUGCUGCUCUUUGACUACCAGUUAUAAAGAAGAAAUUUAGCUCAGCCUAGCCAUUGGCAGACACAAUGGAGAACAUGCUUGAGAGAUAUGAUAGGUCUACGGAGAACAAUAGGGAGACAAUUAGAAGAAUGUCAGAACUCAGGGAUUUGGAGGAUGGAGGAGGACUUAAACAUAACAAGUUUCACAGGGCUUUUAUCACAGAUUGGGACUUCACUGAAUUACAGACAUUCCCAGGUCUUUGCUCUUUCUUCACAAGAUCCCUUUAAAGCCUGCUGCUGUUCACUCUGGUUGCUCUACCUGCCUCAUAUGUACUCUCCAACCAAUGUCACAAGCACUACAAGAAACUGUUGCUUGUACCAUUGAUAACUGGUUUCCUGGAUUUCACUGGGAGAUCCGCUUUCUGCAAAGAGGAUUCUGCAUCUGAACAUAAACCAUCACAUAAGGUACUAGUACAACAUCCCCAAGUACUGUGCCAUCUUCCGGGCUGACUGCAUAUUGCCAAUUGCCAAACAUUAGUAUUCCAGCAUAAAGACCAAAACUUCUCUGUGAAUACCAUUAGAAUUGGGUCACUAACAGAAGGUGCGUGACACUUUAACAUGCAGAACAACUAAAGCCAUUUCCUCUGUCUCAUACAGAGCAGAAAUACCGAGAGUGAAGAUUAUGUGCAUAGCGUGAGCAGAAUGACGGAUGAGAAGCCUUAGUGAUAUACUUGUUUGAUGGCAUUAGUGAUGCAGUUCUGCCUUGGAAACAGUGAAAAUAGGUGAUCAGCUGGGUUUUGUACCGCACUGGUUUUGCUAAAUGUUUGAAUUUCAUAGGAAUUCAGAUGAUUACUUAAAAAUUUCAUUUUAUAGAGGAAAUUCUCUUGCUUAGCAGCAUCCUAAUAACAUUACUAUUUAGCAUUUUCUAUUCUGUUUGGAAUAAAGAGGUUUUAACCUCACUGCUUCAAGCUGUAUAUCUCUAGUCCAGAUCCAGGAAUUAUUGCUGUAGUGGUGUGCUCAGCAGUCAUAAAAGUGCUGCAGAUGGAUUUAUGUAAUUUCAGAAAAUGUUAUGGAAUAAGCUGGACUAGACUCUUCAUUCUGCCUUACCAAGGUCCCUUUAAACCAGCUAGAGAAGAAUAGAAGGGAACUCAUCCUGGAUGGCAUCGUUCCAGCUACCUUCUGAAUCAGAAGGGCAUGCUGAGACCUUUAUAUUGAGAAGAUGGAAGGUGGAAGCCAGGGAAAGGAAGUAUCUGAAACCGCAAAGACAAACAGAAUUAAACUGAGUAUUAGCUGAAUAUCAGCCACUGAGCUACACAGGCUCUCUGUGGUCCCCUGCUUUUGCUCUGUGUUAGUCAGUCUGGAUAAUAAAAGAAUCAGCCCCUUUGUAAGCCUUUAUUAAUUACUCUUGUAUCUUUUUUGGAUGUGACAGAAUAUUUCUGGAGACAAACACCACGAGCAUAGGCAUGGCAUUGCACCACGCUCUGCCUCAUACCCCUUUUCCCUGCCAAGCCUGUCAUGAUUUGUUCACUUUUAUUUAAAACUGAAAAAAAAAAAAAGUUCAGAAAACUAGCUUAUAUGGAAAAGAAAAAUCAGGUCACUCAAAUUGGUCUGCAGAUUCAGGUCAUAUUCAGUGACGAGUUUAAAUGGAAAAAUAUGGGAUAAUCAGUAAAAUGAGGAGUAUUUUUCCUAUUCCUUCAACAUGAAACCUCCCAGUUCUUUUGUUUCAAAAAUAUUGGAAAGGCAUCCCAAGUCCAAAAUACAAACCAAGGAUUAAACAGAGAAGGAAAUAAUCCAGAAGCAACCAAAUACAACCUUUCCACAAGUCAAACGUCCUAUUAACCGUCAAAACAGCUUUUUGAUUUGGAGUGAUCAAAAAGAUUUUAAAACUGUUUUGAGUAAAGUACUGAACCAGAAGCAAUUAUUUGCAAUUCUAUCUAAAGCUAACAAAUGAAGAUUUGUUUUCAAUGUGUUUCAAAGGCAGGUAGUGUUAUUCAAAUUCCCAUUGUGACUUUUCUUCCCGUAUUCAUGAAUUCUUUUCUGGCACACGCAGCGAACAGGUGUGAGCCAGCACGAGGUGGCCCACAGGCCAUAACCAGCAAGUAACUAAUUGGUAUCUAUGUUGCAACAAAGCAGAGAUUCAGCCAAAUUAUGAUGAGGCACUGUGCCAUCCUAAUAGAAUCACAUCAUCAUGGAUGCCAAAAUUCCGUAAAUUUGCAUUAUUUACAUUUAGUUAGGGUAGGAUUCCCAGCUGGGAAAUUCCACAUGGUUGUCCAUCUCUAUCAUAUACAAUUACAAUGGAAAAAGAUUUCUGUGACUAAUCCAGCAUCCUGAAAUAGUUUUCAGCAAGAAUUUAAGUAUUUUAAGUACUUGAAAAUGCUCCUACUCAUCCUCUUCAAUAAAUAUGCUGAAAGUAUGUUUUUGUUGUCUACAUUUGUACAUGAUGAAUUAAAAAAAUAUAUAAAAUCAGAUUUCCUGGUUGAAGAUGUGUAAGCCCUUCCAGCUAGGUAAAAAGGGAAAAGGAAUUGUUUUUUCUGCAACAGUAGCAAGGUUCCCAACUACGUAACAGCAGGGAAACAAAGACAACUUUGAAGCUGCUUUUGUGAAGAACGAAUGCAGAAACUGGUAACUUAUACCCUCGGGAAAUAAUUUGCAAAGACAAAAAUGCCGAGAGGUUGUGAAUUACUGAGAUGAAACCAAGAUGAUGAUAUAUGCUCUGAUUGCUCCUUGAGGUAAUGAAUCUCUGUAGGUUUGUCUUUUCCACCAAGACGGCGAACUACAUCUUAAUCUGCGCCAUGAAGCAGCGGGCCGAGACGCUCGAUGGCCCUGCUGGUAAAUGCUUCCCCGCUGCGUGGCUGGUGGGUGUUCCACAGGGGGCCGGGGGCUGCCCGGAGAGCUGGGGCAUGGCUCCUCUCCUGCCGCCUCUCGCCCAGGAGCUGGCGGGCCUGGCAGGCCUCUUGGGGCUCCCCGGGUGCUACCGCCUGCUGGGAAGGGUCCCACUCCCCGUAGGUUUUCAGGGGCUGUUUGUUGCCGGUUGCUGCCGGACCCCUGAGCUGAUGGCGGGCCGUGGCAGCGGGGUCGGAAGCUGUGCCCUCGGCCGCGGGAGGCACUGCUGCACCGCGCGCCGCGGCGCCUCCUCCCGCCACCGCGGCGAGGCGGCCCUGCUCCUGCCGCCCGGCCUGGGAGCGGCGCCGCUGCAGCCCGGCAGCCCCACCGGGGGCCGCGCCCCGCCACGGUUUGUCGCCCCGGCGGUGCGGCCGCCGCUGCUGUCCCAGGGUGCCUCGCGCC